AACAAAGGAAAAAUAUGCCGAGACCA
Molecule: small RNA, 26 nt
Filed under: Bombyx mori (domestic silkworm)
Lineage: Eukaryota; Metazoa; Arthropoda; Insecta; Lepidoptera; Bombycidae
Description: ovarian small RNA-10190
Source: RNAcentral